This 829-nucleotide ribosomal RNA is filed under the name Pectobacterium versatile. Its description in RNAcentral is "bacterial SSU rRNA". It matches the Rfam family "Bacterial small subunit ribosomal RNA", at positions 1 to 842 of the family's 1533-position model. Lineage: Bacteria; Pseudomonadati; Pseudomonadota; Gammaproteobacteria; Enterobacterales; Pectobacteriaceae. The record is from RNAcentral.
UUGGAGAGUUUGAUCCUGGCUCAGGACGAACGCUGGCGGCGUGCUUAACACAUGCAAGUCGAACGGAAAGGCCCUGCUUUUGUGGGGUGCUCGAGUGGCGAACGGGUGAGUAACACGUGAGUAGCCUGCCCUUGACUUUGGGAUAACUUCAGGAAACUGGGGCUAAUACCGGAUAGGAGCUCCUGCUGCAUGGUGGGGGUUGGAAAGUUUCGGCGGUUGGGGAUGGACUCGCGGCUUAUCAGCUUGUUGGUGGGGUAGUGGCUUACCAAGGCUUUGACGGGUAGCCGGCCUGAGAGGGUGACCGGCCACAUUGGGACUGAGAUACGGCCCAGACUCCUACGGGAGGCAGCAGUGGGGAAUAUUGCACAAUGGGCGGAAGCCUGAUGCAGCAACGCCGCGUGCGGGAUGACGGCCUUCGGGUUGUAAACCGCUUUCGCCUGUGACGAAGCGUGAGUGACGGUAAUGGGUAAAGAAGCACCGGCUAACUACGUGCCAGCAGCCGCGGUGAUACGUAGGGUGCGAGCGUUGUCCGGAUUUAUUGGGCGUAAAGGGCUCGUAGGUGGUUGAUCGCGUCGGAAGUGUAAUCUUGGGGCUUAACCCUGAGCGUGCUUUCGAUACGGGUUGACUUGAGGAAGGUAGGGGAGAAUGGAAUUCCUGGUGGAGCGGUGGAAUGCGCAGAUAUCAGGAGGAACACCAGUGGCGAAGGCGGUUCUCUGGGCCUUUCCUGACGCUGAGGAGCGAAAGCGUGGGGAGCGAACAGGCUUAGAUACCCUGGUAGUCCACGCUGUAAACGGUGGGUACUAGGUGUGGGGUCCAUUCCACGGGUUCC